CCUUACUUAGUUCAAUUUUUCAUAAUUUUCUUGAUUAAUUUGCUAUUUAUUUGAUAUUUUUUAAUUUAACUUGAAUUUUCAGUUGACUUCUUUAUGAUCGAUGUUUGACUGAGGGAUCGCUUAUGGGAAUUGAAGAGAUCUUUUGAUCCUCCCUUGUUCAUCUCAUAUGCCAUGUAUUAGAGACCUUUUAUCAUGAUUUUUUUUGGUCCUUACCUCAUUUCCUGAUUAAAUUAUUCAGUGGACCCUUUUGUGCUUUUCUUUUCAUCUGUCUGGUUCAUCUGUUAUCUUUUA
RNAcentral lists this long non-coding RNA (291 nucleotides) under Lathyrus oleraceus (garden pea). Its description in RNAcentral is "Pisum sativum (pea) long non-coding RNA (PSAT_LNC021266)". The record is from RNAcentral. Lineage: Eukaryota; Viridiplantae; Streptophyta; Magnoliopsida; Fabales; Fabaceae.